Molecule: ribosomal RNA, 374 nt
Filed under: uncultured bacterium
Lineage: Bacteria
Description: bacterial SSU rRNA
Rfam family: Bacterial small subunit ribosomal RNA
Source: RNAcentral
UACGUAGGGAGCGAGCGUUGUCCGGAAUUACUGGGCGUAAAGGGUGCGUAGGCGGUAGGCUAAGUCAGAUGUGAAAUCCCCGGGCUUAACUCGGGGGGUGCAUUUGAAACUGGUCUACUUGAGUGCAGGAGAGGAAAGCGGAAUUCCUAGUGUAGCGGUGAAAUGCGUAGAUAUUAGGAGGAACACCAGUGGCGAAGGCGGCUUUCUGGACUGUAACUGACGCUGAGGCACGAAAGCGUGGGGAGCAAACAGGAUUAGAUACCCUGGUAGUCCACGCUGUAAACGAUGGAUACUAGGUGUGGGGGAGAUACAACCUCCGUGCCGCAGCAAACGCAAUAAGUAUCCCGCCUGGGGAGUACGGCCGCAAGGCUGAA